CACAGCGCUCACUGGCAAGCAACUGUCAGGCUGGAGACCAACAAAGCCCGCUGCCAUCCCACUGUAUCCCCUAUUGGCUACCAAGACCUCUAUCCAAGGAUCCUUGCCUCUGUGGACCGCCUGAUAUCAUUUCGACGAAAUUCAAUGGAUGGAGCAAAGGGAACAGACAGAAACUGGACAAAUUUCCCUGUUUAUAGAAUUUGGAGAAGAGUCAAAGUACCCAAGAUGCUAGAAAAGAUUGGAGAGAUCUUCUUACUGAUGCUGCCUAAAUCCUGAAGACUGGAUAUGUGGAGUGUCUGAUUAAAAUAUAAUCUGUUCAUAUUUCUGUUUCUAAUUCUCCGGUUAUUUUUAGCAUCUUAGAUAGAUUUCUAGACAGAAUAGCUCUUAUUUAUAUUGUAA
This 399-nucleotide long non-coding RNA is filed under the name Crocodylus porosus (Australian saltwater crocodile). RNAcentral's name for it is "lncRNA (ENSCPRG00005000611.1)". The record is from RNAcentral. Lineage: Eukaryota; Metazoa; Chordata; Crocodylia; Crocodylidae.